UACGUAGGCAGCAAGCGUUGUUCGGAAUUACUGGGCGUAAAGGGCUCGUAGGUGGCCAACUAAGUCAGACGUGAAAUCCCUCGGCUUAACCGGGGAACUGCGUCUGAUACUGGAUGGCUUGAGUUUGGGAGAGGGACGCGGAAUUCCAGGUGUAGCGGUGAAAUGCGUAGAUAUCUGGAGGAACACCGGUGGCGAAGGCGGCGUCCUGGACCAACACUGACACUGAUGAGCGAAAGCCAGGGGAGCAAACGGG
Molecule: ribosomal RNA, 253 nt
Filed under: uncultured bacterium
Lineage: Bacteria
Description: partial 16S ribosomal RNA
Rfam family: Bacterial small subunit ribosomal RNA
Source: RNAcentral